RNA transcript from Medicago truncatula (barrel medic), 812 nucleotides. RefSeq lists it as uncharacterized. NCBI's taxonomy places the organism in Eukaryota, Viridiplantae, Streptophyta, Magnoliopsida, Fabales, Fabaceae. The transcript is spliced from 4 exons. The record is from RefSeq and is a predicted model, not a curated record.
AAAUGUGUUGGGUGAAGAGUAAAUUCCAACAACAAAAUUGAUCCCAUAUUCUGAGUGCGCAUUGCAUUUUGCAACAGGAAAGUUUUGAAUUUGUGAAUUAGGAAUGGCGACGGAAGCUUAUGCAGCUGAAGGAAACGGUGACAAAAUCCAGUCUGAUGUCCUCAUCAAAGCCAGAGAAUCUUGCUACAAGGCUCGUGAUGCUUUCUACUCAUGCAUCGAAAAUAAAUGUGACAAGAAGCCAACAGAAAUUGCAACAGUGGGUUUGCUUUACCCCAAAGAAUGCCAACAAUCCAGGAAUCAAUUCGUCAAACAGUGCCGAUCUUCUUGGGUGAAACAUUUUGAUAGACAAUAUUGUCAGAACAAAAAGGCUCAGCAGAGGCUUUUGGAUGAUAAAGGCAGCAGGAGAGGUCCGUUGUCACUCCCAAAGCCUUACACUCUCAAACCCACUCCUUGAUUUUCAUGAACCACUCCUCUGGCAGUAGUAGCAGUAGUAUUAGUAGUAGUAAAUAAUGGGGGUGUAAAAUUUAAAGAUCAACUUGGCCCCUGACAAAGAUGUACUUCACUUCGUCGUCUUUUUAUGGGUGGAACUUGGAAGUGGAAUACUUAUCUGAAUCAGUUGCAAAUAGAAGCUUUAGAAUGGCUUUCAUGCUUUGCUUUCAGCGUAUUUGAAUCUUGAAUAUUGCUUUAAUGUUUCGGUGUUCUUAGCUUUACAAUGAUUAGUUUGUACCUAAUAAUAACUGGUAUUCAUUGCCGCAAGACUUGACUAUUCAAAAUGUACUGACUUCGAUAAUUUAUAUUUUCUUUUGCUUCAA